GAAGGUUGGCGUUGGACGUACCACUCGCCAACCGGGUCAGGUCCGGAAGGAAGCAGCCCUAACGAGCCCGG
Molecule: signal recognition particle RNA, 71 nt
Filed under: Hyphomicrobiales bacterium
Lineage: Bacteria; Pseudomonadati; Pseudomonadota; Alphaproteobacteria; Hyphomicrobiales
Description: partial signal recognition particle sRNA small type
Rfam family: Bacterial small signal recognition particle RNA
About the family: The signal recognition particle (SRP) is a universally conserved ribonucleoprotein involved in the co-translational targeting of proteins to membranes. Archaeal SRP consists of a 7S RNA and homologues of the eukaryotic SRP19 and SRP54 proteins. In most bacteria, the SRP consists of a 4.5S RNA and the Ffh protein (a homologue of the eukaryotic SRP54 protein).
Source: RNAcentral